CNUUUGGUAGGNUUUGCCUACCGGCGGACGGCUCAGUAACACGUGGACAACCUGCCCUCGGGAGGGGGAUAAUCCCGGGAAACUGGGAAUAAACCCCCAUAGGUCAUGGAGGCUGGAAGGCGCCAUGACCGAAAUUCCGAAAGGAGCCCGAGGAUGGGUCUGCGGCCUAUCAGGUCGUAGUGGGGGUAACGGCCCCACUAGCCUACGACGGGUACGGGCCCUGAGAGGGGGAGCCCGNAGAUGGACUCUGAGACACGAGUCCAGGCCCUACGGGGCGCAGCAGGCGCGAAAACUCCGCAAUGCUCGAAAGAGCGACGGGGGGACUCCGAGUGCCUACGCUUUGCGUAGGCUUUUCCCGAGCCUAAAAAGCUCGGGGAAUAAGGGCUGGGUAAGACGGGUGCCAGCCGCCGCGGUAAUACCCGCAGCUCGAGUGGUGGCCGCUUUUAUUGGGCCUAAAGCGUCCGUAGCCGGUCUGGUAAAUGCCUGGGUAAAUCGUCUGGCUUAACCAGACGGCUCCCAGGUAGACUGCCANACUUGGGACCGGAGGAGGAAAGGGUACUCCAGGGGUAGGGUGAAAUCCUGUAUCCUGGAGAACA
RNAcentral lists this ribosomal RNA (596 nucleotides) under uncultured euryarchaeote. Its description in RNAcentral is "bacterial SSU rRNA". It matches the Rfam family "Archaeal small subunit ribosomal RNA", at positions 58 to 658 of the family's 1478-position model. The record is from RNAcentral. Lineage: Archaea; Methanobacteriati; Methanobacteriota.